AAUUUUUUAGUAUAUUUAGUAUGUUUGAUUUCCAAUCAAAAGGUAAAAAAAUUAG
RNAcentral lists this transfer RNA (55 nucleotides) under Dictyocaulus eckerti (red deer lungworm). Its description in RNAcentral is "tRNA-Gly". Lineage: Eukaryota; Metazoa; Nematoda; Chromadorea; Rhabditida; Metastrongylidae. The record is from RNAcentral.